GACAGAGGGUGCAAACGUUGUUCGGAAUUACUGGGCGUAAAGCGCGUGUAGGCGGCUAUGUAAGUCGGGCGUGAAAUCCCACGGCUCAACCGUGGAACGGCUGGGUAUACUGGCGGUCUUGGGCCAUUCAGGGGCGACUGGAACAAGCGGUGGAGCGGUGAAAUGCGUAGAUAUCGCUUGGAACGCCGAAGGUGAAAACAGGUCGCUGGGGAUGUGCCGACGCUGAGACACGAAAGCCAGGGGAGCAAACGGG
Molecule: ribosomal RNA, 253 nt
Filed under: uncultured bacterium
Lineage: Bacteria
Description: partial 16S ribosomal RNA
Rfam family: Bacterial small subunit ribosomal RNA
Source: RNAcentral